CCAGACUCCUACGGGAGGCAGCAGUGAGGAAUAUUGGUCAAUGGCCGAGAGGCUGAACCAGCCAAGUCGCGUGAGGGACGACGGCCCUACGGGUUGUAAACCUCUUUUGCCGGGGGACAAACGGCGGCACGCGUGCCGUCCUGAGGGUACCCGGAGAAAAAGCAUCGGCUAACUCCGUGCCAGCAGCCGCGGUAAUACGGAGGAUGCAAGCGUUAUCCGGAUUUAUUGGGUUUAAAGGGUGCGUAGGCGGACUGGAAAGUCAGCGGUAAAAUCGAGAGGCUCAACCUCUUUCCGCCGUUGAAACUGUCGGUCUUGAGUGGGCGAGAAGUAUGCGGAAUGCGUGGUGUAGCGGUGAAAUGCAUAGAUAUCACGCAGAACUCCGAUUGCGAAGGCAGCAUACCGGCGCCCGACUGACGCUGAGGCACGAAAGCGUGGGUAUCGAACAGGAUUAGAUACCCUUGUA
This 463-nucleotide ribosomal RNA is filed under the name uncultured bacterium. RNAcentral's name for it is "bacterial SSU rRNA". It matches the Rfam family "Bacterial small subunit ribosomal RNA", at positions 331 to 792 of the family's 1533-position model. The record is from RNAcentral.